Molecule: ribosomal RNA, 440 nt
Filed under: uncultured bacterium
Lineage: Bacteria
Description: partial 16S ribosomal RNA
Rfam family: Bacterial small subunit ribosomal RNA
Source: RNAcentral
CCUACGGGAGGCAGCAGUGGGGAAUAUUGCACAAUGGGGGAAACCCUGAUGCAGCGACGCCGCGUGAGUGAAGAAGUACUUCGUUAUGUAAAGCUCUAUCAGCAGGGAAGAAAAUGACGGUACCUGAGUAAGAAGCCCCGGCUAACUACGUGCCAGCAGCCGCGGUAAUACGUAGGGGGCAAGCGUUAUCCGGAUUUACUGGGUGUAACGGGAGCGUAGACGGCAGUGCAAGUCUGGAGUGAAAGGCGGGGGCUCAACCCCCGGACUGCUCUGGAAACUGGACGGCGGGAGUGAAGUAGAGGCAGGCGGAAUUCCUAGUGUAGCGGUGAAAUGCGUAGAUAUUAGGAGGAACACCAGUGGCGAAGGCGGCCUGCUGGGCUUUAACUGACGCUGAGGCUCGAAAGCGUGGGGAGCAAACAGGAUUAGAUACCCUAGUAGUC